This 435-nucleotide ribosomal RNA is filed under the name uncultured bacterium. Its description in RNAcentral is "partial 16S ribosomal RNA". It matches the Rfam family "Bacterial small subunit ribosomal RNA", at positions 28 to 507 of the family's 1533-position model. The record is from RNAcentral.
GAUGAACGCUGGCGGUAUGCUUAACACAUGCAAGUCGAACGGACUCUUCGGAGUUAGUGGCGGACGGGUGAGUAACGCGUGAGAAUCUGGCUUUGGGUUCGGGACAACCACUGGAAACGGUGGCUAAUACCGGAUGUGCCGAGAGGUAAAAGAGAAAUUGCCUGAAGAUGAGCUCGCGUCUGAUUAGCUAGUUGGUGAGGUAAAGGCUCACCAAGGCAGCGAUCAGUAGCUGGUCUGAGAGGAUGACCAGCCACACUGGGACUGAGACACGGCCCAGACUCCUACGGGAGGCAGCAGUGGGGAAUUUUCCGCAAUGCGCGAAAGCCUGACGGAGCAAUACCGCGUGAGGGAAGAAGGCUCUUGGGUUGUAAACCUCUUUUCUUAGGGAAGAACAAAAUGACGGUACCUAAGGAAUCAGCAUCGGCUAACUCCGUG